CCCGUCACAUCAAAUCUUGCGGCACAUGCAUGGAGCAUUAAAUAUAGAUAAAAAAUAUAACUAAUUAUACAGUUUGCAUGUAAUUUGUGAGACGAAUCUUUUGAGCCUAGUUAGGCUAUGAUUGGACAAUAUUUGUCAAAUACAAACGAAAGUGGUAGUAUUCACAUUUUGCAAAAAAAAAAAUUGCAAACAAGACCUUAGACAAAUCUAAAAUAAUUGUAUGGAAUUCUCGAUUAUUUUCACCUACAAUCUAAUUAUAUAAGUGGCCCCAAACGCCUGCAGUUAAGUUUAAUAUUGGAAGAAGAGCUAGCGACCCUUCUUCUCAAUUGCAUAUAGCAGUAUCCGUCAUUACAAAAGAAAAAAAAAGGCUGCGUAAUCCCUUUGACUAUAUAGGUGUACUACUUGACUCCUAAACUAUAAAACUAAAUUUUCUAUCUCCUAAAUCUUUUAAAACUAGUCAAAUAACGCCGUC
RNAcentral lists this long non-coding RNA (472 nucleotides) under Sorghum bicolor (sorghum). RNAcentral's name for it is "long non-coding RNA (SBIC_LNC017003)". The record is from RNAcentral. Lineage: Eukaryota; Viridiplantae; Streptophyta; Magnoliopsida; Poales; Poaceae.